RNAcentral lists this long non-coding RNA (764 nucleotides) under Scleropages formosus (Asian bonytongue). Its description in RNAcentral is "lncRNA (ENSSFOG00015025208.1)". The record is from RNAcentral. Lineage: Eukaryota; Metazoa; Chordata; Actinopteri; Osteoglossiformes; Osteoglossidae.
CGCUCUCGCUGCGCGCGAGCUCGCGUCUAACGAGGGAAAUGUGACGUACGACGUAUCGCUCGAAAGACGGAAACGUCCCUAUGGCGCGCGCGCGGCGCUGGGACACGCCCCCUGUCACGUGGAGGCCGUAAUAGUAACGAGUGAGUAAUUGGGCAAAGCGAAGGUUUCGCUCGACGCGUUUCUGAGGCGAUUGUGGAGAAGGGAGGGCAAGGAAAGAAGAAGAAGAAAAAAGAAGGAAAUAAUAGCGAGUCGGUGUGCGGAAUUGUUACAUGAUGAACAUUAUAUAGAAAUGUACGAAGUUCGAAAGUAAGAGGGGGGCAAUGUGAACGUGGUACUACUAGAAGUUGAACUGAAAUCUCAUUCUGAGAGAAAAAAUUGACAACUGACAACAACACAAAAGUCGACAGAAGCGAAGGCUCCUGUGUGCACAACAGGGCUGGACCAAGCAGAGGACACCCCCGUCCACGCCAGUUGGAGGGGCUGUGGAAGAGCCGUCACCUGUGGAACUCGACAUCUUCAGGCAGACGCUCGGAGGGAAACGGGGCUCCGGCGCUGUGGGUCCGCAAUCCUCUGGAACGUUCUGAAGAGGACGGAGGCUAUUUAAAGGCGCUUUUGUUUUCGGAUCAGCUAAGGCUCGCGGCUGCUGCAACAGCACAUAAGAAGGGGUUUUCGAACGGGAUCUGCCCCGAUGUUCAGGAGGACGAGGCCGGGUGAGUCCUUCUGAACCUUCGGCAGGUUCAAGAAACUCGAAACAUCUCUCGGUG